ACCGUUGUCAUAGUCAACAAGGUUGAAACUUCGAAUUGGGAGGGCGAUCCUCCUGGUGAACAGACCGUAACCCAAACUGACACAGGUGAACAAGUCGAGUAUACUAGGGCACUUGAGAGAACCAUGUCGAAGGAACUCGGCAAAAUGACCCUGUAACUUUGGGAGCAGGGGUGUUCUCCUAUCUUUUGAUUAGAAAAGCGUCACAUACCAGGGGGUAGCGACUGUUUAUUAAAAACACAUGACUCUGCUAAGUGGUAACACGAUGUAUAGAGUCUGACACCUGCCCUGUGCCGGAAGGUCGAAAGGAGAAGUGUUAUAAGCUUUGAAUGAAAGCCCCGGUAAACGGCGGCAGUAACUCUAACUAUCCUAAGGUAGCGAAAUUCCUUGUCGACACCUUCAUCAGCAUAGAUCGAAAACAUAAUAUUUAAGGAAGGAAA
Molecule: non-coding RNA, 437 nt
Filed under: Nicotiana attenuata
Lineage: Eukaryota; Viridiplantae; Streptophyta; Magnoliopsida; Solanales; Solanaceae
Description: Bacterial large subunit ribosomal RNA
Rfam family: Bacterial large subunit ribosomal RNA
Source: Rfam by way of RNAcentral